This 675-nucleotide long non-coding RNA is filed under the name Equus caballus (horse). RNAcentral describes it as "lncRNA (ENSECAG00000052959.1)". The record is from RNAcentral. Lineage: Eukaryota; Metazoa; Chordata; Mammalia; Perissodactyla; Equidae.
AGAACCCACAGAAUUUGGUGACUGAUUAGAUAAGGAGCAAGACAAAAAACGUUAACAGUGACUCAGAGGUUUGGUGUCUAUGAGACCAGGGGCCCUAUUUAAAAGAGCUAUUCAUUGCAAAGUCAAGAGGUAAUUUAGGGAAGAAAUAACAAAUUGGCCUGUACACUUGUUGGAUUUAAAAUGCCUUGGCAGGGUGUCUAUGAGAUGUACACCAUGAGGUGGAAAUGUGGGAGAAAUUGAGCCAGAUCAUGAGACACGGCUGAAGGCCAGGUAACCAAGGGAGAGGCUGUGUACAGAAACUCAAGAGGCCCACAGGGUGCUCCCUGACCUGGACAAGUUACUUCAUUUUACUGGGGCUCAGUUUCCUCAUCUAUAAAAUGGAGAAUGAGAGUUAUCUACACAGAACACCUCUAAAUGAACUAACAGACAUUCCCUGAGACCCUACUACGUAUGAAGAACUGUGCCUGGUGCUAUGGAAAAUACAGUCCUUGCCCUCAAAGUGCUUACUCUUCAGUGGGAGUGGUGGAUUAUUAUACUUGUCUUCCAUGGCUUCUUGCUAUUUUGUAUUUGUUACGUUACACAGCUAAUUCAAGACAGAACGUAAUAAAAGCCAUAGAAGAGAUGCAAAGUUUAAUGAGAGGACAAAACAGAGGGACACAUUUGAUGAGAUGGGGA